RNAcentral lists this ribosomal RNA (366 nucleotides) under uncultured eukaryote. RNAcentral describes it as "partial 18S ribosomal RNA". It matches the Rfam family "Eukaryotic small subunit ribosomal RNA", at positions 592 to 976 of the family's 1831-position model. The record is from RNAcentral.
CAAUAGCGUAUAUUAACGUUGUUGCAGUUAAAAAGCUCGUAGUUGGAUUUCUGGAGGGAGCGUCGGCCCGUAUUUACGAGUGCGUGACGUCUCUGUCCAUCCUUGCGGGAAGGCACGGCAUUGAUUUGUUGUGUCGGAUCGCAUCAUUUACUGUGAAAAAAUUAGAGUGUUCAAAGCAGGCUUUCGCUUGAAUACAUUAGCAUGGAAUAAUAAGAUAGGACUUGGGUGCUAUUUUGUUGGUUGAGCCUAAAGUAAUGAUUAAUAGGGAUAGUUGGGGGCACCUGUAUUGCGUUGUCAGAGGUGAAAUUCUUGGAUUUACGCAAGACAAACAGCUGCGAAAGCGUCUGCCAAGGAUGUUUUCAUUAA